CUCCGGGCUGAGCGGGGAUGUCGUCCCCGUGGCGGCUGCUCCCGGGUCGGGGGACGCGUGGGGAGCGCGGGAUCGCUGCAGCCCGCGAGAGGCACGCGCAAGCCGUGGAGACCUGGGCCUCCGCGCGGCUCGGGCGCUUCGGGGCGCUUCGGGAAGCCCGGCGCUGAGCGGGCMCCUCGCGCACGCAGCAACCCCUCGUUUCCCACAGCGGCCGGUGCCGCUCGCGCCCCUUAUCCGCGGCGCCUUGGGGAGCGAGGACGGGGCCUCGGCCCUGCGGCGAAACACCCGCCGCGCCCCGGCAGCAGCCCCGCCGGAGCUGGCCCUCGGGGACGUCGCGGGGCGACGCUGCCUCCUGCCACGAGGCCGCGGGGCGCGUGGCCUCUCCCGGGCGGCCCCGCACUCCGAGGGGCGAAGGCCCGGAAAGGCCGGCGGGCGGAUCCGGGCUCCCCCGGGCUGGCGGCAGCAUCGGGCCCGGCGCAGGGGCGACGGAGGCGCCAGCGCAGCCCCUCGCCCCUGCACCGAGGAGCCCUUCGCGCUGCCCCGCCGGGCUCCGGCUGCUCACGUGACGUGGUCCCUCGGGAUCCUUCCCGGCACCGUGGGAAUUUCUGCCCCAGCCGGGCGGUGGGGGGCUGUGCGCGUCGGCACACAGUGUGCUGGCACGUGGGUACAGCUACACCAGUGCGGCUGCAUGCUGCUACACUGGUACACUGCUACACUGGUACACCAGUACACCUGCACACUGCUACACUGGUACACAGGUGCACUGGUACACCUGCACACUGUUACACAGGUACAGGUACACCAGUACACCCACACACUGCUGCACCGGUACACAGGUACACUGGUACACCUGCACAAUAUACCACCACACCUGCACACUGUUGCACUGUUACACAGGUAAACAGGUACAYGGCUACACCUGCACACUGCUACAUGAGUACAGAAGUACACCGCUACACCUGCACACUGGUGCCCUGUUACACUGGUACACAUGCACACCAGUACACCGUUACAUUGGUACACAUGGACACCGGUACACCAGUGCACUGUUACACUGGUACAGCGCUACACCUGCACACCGGUGCACUGUUACACCUGCAUAGUGGUACACCAGUGCACUGUUACACUGGUACACCCGCACACAGGUACAGCCGCAGCCCGGCCCGCCGGUGCGCCUGGCCGCGCUGAGCCCCCCGCGGCCUCGCCGCCCCCUAAUCCUGCCCGGACCCAGCGCCGCCCUCGCCGCUCCCYGGAGCAGACGGGUCUCCGCAAUUUGCGCCUAAUUACAAACGUCACGAGACUUACUCCAAAAGCGAAGCCGAAGGGCUUUACAGAUCACUACCUAACUCGAUUUAGAAAGUGCGAUGGCAGGGAAUAACCCAGGCUGUUCCCCCUUGUUGUGACAAGUUCUCGUGCGGCCCAAGGACAGCGGACGCAGACCGGCAGGGUUACGGCUCUGAAGGAAAGUCAGCAGCGAGCUAAAGGACAGCUGGGAUUCAUAUUGGAAUAUUUUUAACAUGCUCUUACAAAUACUUUGGCGUACGCCUAUUCCACUCCUUUUAAUGAUGUUGACUUCAUUUCCUUUAACAUGGGGGGAAAAUGCUACACCAACAAAACCUAAUUAAAUUAAUAGGAAGAAACAAUAAUAAAUAAUUCCCGUUGUAUGACUGCUGGGUUGCA
This 1680-nucleotide long non-coding RNA is filed under the name Apteryx haastii (Great spotted kiwi). Its description in RNAcentral is "lncRNA (ENSAHAG00000005729.1)". Lineage: Eukaryota; Metazoa; Chordata; Aves; Apterygiformes; Apterygidae. The record is from RNAcentral.